GAUGAACGCUGGCGGCGUGCCUAAUACAUGCAAGUCGAGCGAACGGACGAGAAGCUUGCUUCUCUGAUGUUAGCGGCGGACGGGUGAGUAACACGUGGAUAACCUACCUAUAAGACUGGGAUAACUUCGGGAAACCGGAGCUAAUACCGGAUAAUAUUUUGAACCGCAUGGUUCAUAAGUGAAAGACGGUCUUGCUGUCACUUAUAGAUGGAUCCGCGCUGCAUUAGCUAGUUGGUAAGGUAACGGCUUACCAAGGCAACGAUGCAUAGCCGACCUGAGAGGGUGAUCGGCCACACUGGAACUGAGACACGGUCCAGACGCCUACGGGAGGCAGCAGUAGGGAAUCUUCCGCAAUGGGCGAAAGCCUGACGGAGCAACGCCGCGUGAGUGAUGAAGGUCUUCGGAUCGUAAAACUCUGUUAUUAGGGAAGAACAUAUGUGUAAGUAACUGUGCACAUCUUGACGGUACCUAAUCAGAAAGCCACGGCUAACUACGUG
Molecule: ribosomal RNA, 497 nt
Filed under: uncultured bacterium
Lineage: Bacteria
Description: partial 16S ribosomal RNA
Rfam family: Bacterial small subunit ribosomal RNA
Source: RNAcentral